GGGGGGGUCAAGGCGAGGCUGCAUGUCUGAUCUUCUAGAGGAAAAAUUCAGAACAGUGGAGACUUAAAAUACUAGUACAGGAUAAAUCAAUAACCCCUCGACGGUUAAUCUAAAACCAACCAACAAAUAAAUAAAUCCCCCCCGUGGGGGUCUUAGCCCAGCUGUUUUGUAAGACUGUCUCAGCCUUGAUUAGUCUCAGCUCCUGAUCGAUAGGAGCUGAUCAGGUUCCUAGGGCAGCUUUAAAGCAGCGUUCAGAAACCAGAACAGACAGAAGAACAAUUCAAAUAGCGGGGGGCUCUGCCUUUCAGCCCGCCUAGGGGCUGGAGCUGCUCGGAGACACAGCAGAGCGAAGGUGCUUGGCUACCCGGGGCAUUUCAGGGUCUUCUUGCCAUGCCGAGAAGUCCCUGUUCACGGUACCAGGCGGCUACUGAUGCCCGGCCCUGACCAAGUGCCCAGAGCCCGGGGUGCGGAGGAGACGUGCCCUGCACGGGGAUCGAGACCAGACCAGGGCUGACGUGGAACAGCCCGCUAGCAAUGGUGCAGGGCUGCGGUGCCAGCCAGAUCCCUGGUCAGACGGGAAAUGCAGAACGCACGGCGGGUUCUGUCCUCCAGGCUGCCGGGACAAACAACUGGGCGCUCGAGAUGCUGGUAAAGAACCGGCAGUUCCUCGAGAUGUCCCUUUGUGAUCGUUUUCCUCCCCCAGAAUUGGCAGGUGAAACGUAGGAUCCAAAUAACCCGAAAUUAACCAGUUUCCGGAAGAUCCCGAUCGAUUGCGGAAGUUCCUUGACGCCCCAAAUCUGCGUGAGCAGAAAAGCAGAUCGAAAUCGUUCCCCGCCGGUGUCUGUUGCUCUUGGCUGGGGAAAAUGCCUCAUGUCUGCUCCCCGCUCCAGGACACACCCGGAGAGGAGUCACCCCUCACCUCCCCGCAGCCAAACCAAGGAGCAAACCAGGGUGCGGUUCCAUGGUCACCGGUUUUCACCGGAACCGACUUCUACCCCCAACAGCAAAUCAAAAAGGGACCAAAUUUCCUUGGAGAAACAAUCGCAAAUCUCCCCUCCCUGAAAGUGACCACAGAGCGACCCCCGGAAAAGCCAGAACUAACGAAACCCACAAAAUCUUUAGCCUAUUGUCAUCGAAACAAUGGUUUCGGUUCUCUCCGGACUUACACAAGUUAACACCAGGACUUGGAAAUAAACGUAUUUAGUCAUAA
Molecule: long non-coding RNA, 1210 nt
Organism: Caretta caretta (loggerhead turtle)
Lineage: Eukaryota; Metazoa; Chordata; Testudines; Cheloniidae
Source: RefSeq, a predicted model, not a curated record